GACGAACGCUGGCGGCGUGCUUAACACAUGCAAGUCGAACGGAAAGGCCCUGCUUUUGUGGGGUGCUCGAGUGGCGAACGGGUGAGUAACACGUGAGUAACCUGCCCUUGACUUUGGGAUAACUUCAGGAAACUGGGGCUAAUACCGGAUAGGAGCUCCUGCUGCAUGGUGGGGGUUGGAAAGUUUCGGCGGUUGGGGAUGGACUCGCGGCUUAUCAGCUUGUUGGUGGGGUAGUGGCUUACCAAGGCUUUGACGGGUAGCCGGCCUGAGAGGGUGACCGGCCACAUUGGGACUGAGAUACGGCCCAGACUCCUACGGGAGGCAGCAGUGGGGAAUAUUGCACAAUGGGCGGAAGCCUGAUGCAGCAACGCCGCGUGCGGGAUGACGGCCUUCGGGUUGUAAACCGCUUUCGCCUGUGACGAAGCGUGAGUGACGGUAAUGGGUAAAGAAGCACCGGCUAACUACGUGCCAGCAGCCGCGGUGAUACGUAGGGUGCGAGCGUUGUCCGGAUUUAUUGGGCGUAAAGGGCUCGUAGGUGGUUGAUCGCGUCGGAAGUGUAAUCUUGGGGCUUAACCCUGAGCGUGCUUUCGAUACGGGUUGACUUGAGGAAGGUAGGGGAGAAUGGAAUUCCUGGUGGAGCGGUGGAAUGCGCAGAUAUCAGGAGGAACACCAGUGGCGAAGGCGGUUCUCUGGGCCUUCCCUGACGCUGAGGAGCGAAAGGCGUGGGGAGCGAACAGGCUUAGAUACCCUGGUAGUCCACGCUGUAAACGGUGGGUACUAGGUGUGGGGUCCAUUCCACGGGUUCCGUGCCGUAGCUAACGCUUUAAGUACCCCGCCUGGGGAGUACGGCCGCAAGGCUAAAACUCAAAGGAAUUGACGGGGCCCCGCACAAGCGGCGGAGCAUGCGGAUUAAUUCGAUGCAACGCGUAGAACCUUACCUGGGUUUGACAUGGAUCGGGAGUGCUCAGAGAUGGGUGUGCCUCUUUUGGGGUCGGUUCACAGGUGGUGCAUGGCUGUCGUCAGCUCGUGUCGUGAGAUGUUGGGUUAAGUCCCGCAACGAGCGCAACCCUUGUUCACUGUUGCCAGCACGUUAUGGUGGGGACUCAGUGGAGACCGCCGGGGUCAACUCGGAGGAAGGUGGGGAUGACGUCAAGUCAUCAUGCCCCUUAUGUCCAGGGCUUCACGCAUGCUACAAUGGCUGGUACAGAGAGUGGCGAGCCUGUGAGGGUGAGCGAAUCUCGGAAAGCCGGUCUCAGUUCGGAUUGGGGUCUGCAACUCGACCUCAUGAAGUCGGAGUCGCUAGUAAUCGCAGAUCAGCAACGCUGCGGUGAAUACGUUCCCGGGGCU
This 1347-nucleotide ribosomal RNA is filed under the name uncultured bacterium. Its description in RNAcentral is "partial 16S ribosomal RNA". It matches the Rfam family "Bacterial small subunit ribosomal RNA", at positions 28 to 1381 of the family's 1533-position model. The record is from RNAcentral.